CCUCCAUUCAAGUUGUUUCUCUCUGCCUCCUCACUUUAGCUAAGCUCUCAAGACUCAAGAGCUUAGUAUUUCUUUUGAUGAAGCUCUUGAGGUCCCAAACUUUAUGCUAGCGUUUCUCUUUAAUCUCGUCAUUUUCUGAUCUGUUUCUUCAUUAUUUCUUAUUCAGAUCAUAGUUCUCAAUUUGUUUUUAUUUUUUUUUUGGCCUCUGCUACUUCACUGUUGGAAACCAGUAUUACAGAAACAAGCUCAGUUGGUUCUUGGGUUUCUGUCAGUUUCUUGAUAGGUCUGAUCAGAUGGUGAGAAAUGGGCUUUAUCAAUGAGAUGCAGAAAGUAUAUAUUUACUUCGAGAAGUUUCUUUAGGUUUUCAAAAAACUUUUGAUACAAUUUUUUCACUAUGGUUAGAGGUAGAGUAAAAGGGAAGAAACAAAACAUUAUCACUGCUCGUGAGGAUCCUGGGAGCUCAGAAGCGCAUAAGAUUCCACCAAACAGGAGAAGAGGAAGGCCACAAAAGCCUUUGAAGGAUGAUAUUGGAGACGGAAAAACUCAGAAGAUACAAGAUGAGGAUGAGAAAAGUCAUAUUUCUCGCGAAGACGUGAAAGACCACUCUAGUAUAGAGAAUGGCACAAAAAGGAAGAGAGACGCUCAUGUCAAUGAAAAUUUGAACUCCAUCCAAGAGGAGAACAGCAUGGAAAUAAAGUCAAGCCUUGAUGAUCCUACAGAGUCUGUUGGAUUCCGACAAAGUGGGAGUAGGCGGAAAAACAAGCCUCACCGAGCUGCUGAAGCUGGUGUUCAGUGCAAAUAGUUCAGUUUAGCUAUUCUGAUGCUUGCCUACCUUCGUUUCCAUCAAUGAGGCUAAUUCAAAAGCAUAAGAGAGGCCUUUCUGGUUCACCUAUCAUCCCUUAAAUUUUGUUUGGUAUAUGUUUUGUUUUACCAGUAAUUUCUGAGUUACUUUCCUUGGUAGUGAGGUUUUGGAAAAUUAUUUCUUGUAUCGUUCUCUUUAUUUUAUUAGUUGCCAGACAUGUUUUGCCUUAGCUUACUCAAAUUUAGAUGAAAUCCCUUCAAUUUUUCUUGUUUUUGUGUUCAUUAUUUUUCGUUCCCAAAAGGCAUAUGUUUUCCCGUAGCUUAAUCACAUAUCUGAUGAAUGUGAGCAUAUGCUUGGUUAGAUUAAUAGCUAGGGAGGGAGGAAUUUAUAAUAGGGACCCAUAUUUAUCCAAAAUCAAGCAGCAGUGCAUUUGUAAUGGCAGGCUGCUCAAAGAAUGAAACAGAGACUUAUAGCUGUGAAUAGACUGGAAAUGCAUUACAAUUCUUGAAUGUAUUUUUUUUUUCCUUUUAAAACAUUCCUUGAAUAUGUGAACUAAAGAUUUUGUCCUCAUAAUUGAUUUACCUGGUAUGAUCUUGAACUCUUUAACAUCAUCUGAAUAUUAUCAGACACUGAAAACUUGUUAUCAGCAUGUGAACAGAGGUGUUUGGGUAUUGGCAGUUAUUGCAGUUGAUAAUCAAGGUACUCAAAUACUCAACAAAAGUUAAGCAGGCACUCUAUGUGACU
This is a long non-coding RNA of Rosa rugosa (rugosa rose), 1546 nucleotides long. RefSeq lists it as uncharacterized. Lineage: Eukaryota; Viridiplantae; Streptophyta; Magnoliopsida; Rosales; Rosaceae. The record is from RefSeq and is a predicted model, not a curated record. The transcript is spliced from 3 exons.